Molecule: ribosomal RNA, 484 nt
Filed under: uncultured bacterium
Lineage: Bacteria
Description: partial 16S ribosomal RNA
Rfam family: Bacterial small subunit ribosomal RNA
Source: RNAcentral
AUUGAACGCUGGCGGCAGGCCUAACACAUGCAAGUCGAGCGGAUGAAGGGAGCUUGCUCCUGGAUUCAGCGGCGGACGGGUGAGUAAUGCCUAGGAAUCGGCCUGGUAGCGGGGGAUAACGUCCGGAAACGGGCGCUAAUACCGCAUACGUCCUGAGGGAGAAAGUGGGGGAUCUUCGGACCUCACGCUAUCAGAUGAGCCUAGGUCGGAUUAGCUAGUUGGUGGGGUAAAGGCCUACCAAGGCGACGAUCCGUAACUGGUCUGAGAGGAUGAUCAGUCACACUGUAACUGAGACACGGUCCAGACUCCUACGGGAGGCAGCAGUGGGGAAUAUUGGACAAUGGGCGAGAGCCUGAUCCAGCCAUGCCGCGUGUGUGAAGAAGGUCUUCGGAUUGUAAAGCACUUUAAGUUGGGAGGAAGGGCAGUAAGUUAAUACCUUGCUGUUUUGACGUUACCAACAGAAUAAGCACCGGCUAACUUCGUG